Molecule: ribosomal RNA, 2139 nt
Filed under: Erysiphe necator (grape powdery mildew)
Lineage: Eukaryota; Fungi; Ascomycota; Leotiomycetes; Helotiales; Erysiphaceae
Description: SSU rRNA
Rfam family: Bacterial small subunit ribosomal RNA (bases 1030-2139)
Source: RNAcentral
AACUAAUUGAGUUUGAUGAUGGCUCUGAAUGAACGCUAUCUCAAGUGCUUGACACAUGCUAAUCUAACGUCUAAUUUAAAUAUUAACAAAAGAAUAUUAUAUCUUUUAUAUAAUUUACACUAAUAUAUUUUAUAUAUCUUUUGAGAGGAUUUUUUUAUUAGAAGUGGUGUACAGGUGAGUAAAGGAUAUUUUGGCUACCUUAAAGUGAGGUUAAUAAAUGCCUUAUAUUUAUAUCUGGAAGAGGGUGAUCUUAUAAUAUAUAACUAGAUGUUUUCCUUAGCGGAAACCUUCGGUGUGUGCCCUAUCAAUAGGAGGCAAGGGCAGCCUAAGGUUUCUUUCUCAAGGAUGGUUGAAAAAAUAAAAUAAUUUUACCGCCGGCCAGUACUUUAAAGGAAAUAACGAAUAUUACACAGCAGAGGGGGGGUGGAGGCAAAGAGCUUCUUUUUACCCCCUCGGUCAAUAAGGCCGAGGGGGGGGGGGCUGUUUUAUUUUUUUCCGCUUUAAGAGGACAAUUAAUAUUUCGGAUAGGUAGUAGUUAAAGUAAUGGUUUUACUAGCUUAUAAUUCCGUAAUCGUAACUGAGAGGUUUAUCGAUCACAUUGGGUCUGAAAAAACCCCAAUACGUAUAGUACAGCAGUGGGGAAUAUUGGUCAAUAGCCUAACGGCUGAACCAGCAACUUGGGAGUAUGUAUAGCUUUUUACUAAGCUAAUAUCACUAGAAAUGGUUGUGUAUAAACCAUUUAUGAGGUAGAGAGAAAUGACUCUACAAGACUAGAGGUGCAAAUCAGCCUUCUAAUUAGCUGUUCCUAAUAAGGCUCCAGCUAACCAGGGGUACAUGGUUUGUUUUACCAUGAGCUAAAGAUUUAGGUUUUUACCUAGAUCUGUUUUAGAAAAAAUAUCUUUUGCUAAGCGUAAGGCAAUAAGCGUUUUUUUCUUAGCUCUUGGUUAUUAAAACUUUUCUGGGUGUUUACAAGAAUUUAAUAUAGUCGUUGCCUACUAAGACUAAUAUUUUUUUUAAACUUUACUUUGAUAUAUCGAUUUACUCGAAUAAAAUACUAGGUAGGCCUAAUAUCUUUAUGUAAAGUGUAAAGAUUUCUCUAAUAUAGGAAUUAGAAUUGAUUAUGACAUAGGCCUAUCUACAAGUCUUGACCAAAAUACGUGCCAGCAGUCGCGGUAAGACGUAAAAGACAAGUGUUAUUCAUCUUUACCAGGUUUAAAGGGUACCUAGACGGUAAAAAUCGUCUUUUAUAAGAUACGAUUAUACUAGAGUUAUAUAUAAGGAGGUGAGUAUUUAUGGAGUGCGAGAGUUGAAAUUUGUUCAUACCAUAAGGACUGGUAAAGGCGAAAGCAACCUUUUAUGUAAUAACUGACGUUGAGGGACGAAGGCUCGGGUAGCGAACAGGAUUAGAUACCCUGGUAGUCCAAGCAGAAAAUUAUGAAUGCUAUAGGUUAGAUUUUUAUUUAGUCUAUAAAUUAAAAUGUAAGCAUUCCACCUCAAGAGUAAUGUGGCAACGCAGGAACUGAAAUCAUUAGACCGUUUACUGAAACCAGUAGUGAAGUAUGUGAUUUAAUUCGUAGGUACGCGAAAAACCUUACCACAACUUGAAUAUUAUCUAUCAGGAUAUUACAAGCGUUGCACGGCUGUCUUCAGUUAAUGUCGUGAGAUGCCGGUUAACUCCUUUAAAUUAACGGAAACCCUUGCUUUAAUUAUGAAAAGAAAUAAAGCAGUUCACCAUCUAAAUCGGAUAUGAUCACAGGGGGCAAGACAAGUCAUCAUGGCCUAAAUGUUGUGGGCAAUAGACGUGCCACAUAUUCCUAUACAAAAUGAUGCGAUAAUGCGAAUUGGAGCUAAUCAUCUAAAGUAGGAUAUAAUAAGGAUUGUAGUCUGAAACUCGACUAUAUGAAUAAGGAAUUACUAGUAAUCGUGAAUAAGAACGUCACGGUGGAUUUAAUCUCAUUUGGGUACUAACUACUCGUCAGGCGCUGAAAUAAGUGUGUGCAAUAAGUUUGGUUUUUUUUAUAUUUUUUAUUCUAGAUAAUUAGUUCUAGUUAUCUAUAAGGAAAAUCUUCGUAUGCGUGACUUUAAUUAGUGUUAAGUCGAAAUAUGGUUCGUGUAGUGGAAGUUGCACGGGAUUUAUUA